This 253-nucleotide ribosomal RNA is filed under the name uncultured bacterium. RNAcentral's name for it is "partial 16S ribosomal RNA". It matches the Rfam family "Bacterial small subunit ribosomal RNA", at positions 524 to 776 of the family's 1533-position model. The record is from RNAcentral.
UACGAAGGGUGCGAGCGUUGUCCGGAAUUAUUGGGCGUAAAGGGCUCGUAGGCGGUCUGUUGCGUCGGGAGUGAAAACUUACAGCUUAACUGUGAGCGUGCUUCCGAUACGGGCAGACUUGAGGUAUUCAGGGGAGAACGGAAUUCCUGGUGUAGCGGUGAAAUGCGCAGAUAUCAGGAGGAACACCGGUGGCGAAGGCGGUUCUCUGGGAAUAUCCUGACGCUGAGGAGCGAAAGUGUGGGGAGCGAACAGG